This 217-nucleotide long non-coding RNA is filed under the name Prunus persica (peach). RNAcentral's name for it is "long non-coding RNA (PPER_LNC003549)". Lineage: Eukaryota; Viridiplantae; Streptophyta; Magnoliopsida; Rosales; Rosaceae. The record is from RNAcentral.
CAUAUUCUUGUAAACGCAGCGGUUUACAACACUAAGGACUUGUAUUACAAUGGUUUGGACGUAAGUGUUCUAUGAACUUGUAAAAUGGAUCCUUAAUCUCGUAUACUACAAUAUUUUGAUUCCUAUUUACAAGUUUUUGCACUAUGAUUACAACUUUAAAGUUCUUUAUAAUCCAUAAUCUUGUAAUACUAUAAUUUACAUUAGAAAUGAUCUCUUU